CGGAGGUAAGCGAUCUGGUGGAUGGCGACGUUCUUAUACAGCGUUAAAGGUGAGUUCGAUCCUCACACCUCCGACCA
Molecule: transfer RNA, 77 nt
Filed under: Paenibacillus curdlanolyticus
Lineage: Bacteria; Bacillati; Bacillota; Bacilli; Caryophanales; Paenibacillaceae
Description: tRNA-Ile
Source: RNAcentral